This 161-nucleotide ribosomal RNA is filed under the name Jacobsoniella bakeri. RNAcentral describes it as "partial small subunit ribosomal RNA". It matches the Rfam family "Eukaryotic small subunit ribosomal RNA", at positions 1248 to 1412 of the family's 1831-position model. The record is from RNAcentral. Lineage: Eukaryota; Metazoa; Arthropoda; Insecta; Hemiptera; Cercopidae.
AUGAGAGCUCUUUCUUGAUUCGGUGGGUGGUGGUGCAUGGCCGUUCUUAGUUGGUGGAGCGAUUUGUCUGGUUAAUUCCGAUAACGAAACGAGACUCUAGCCUGCUAAAUAGGCGAUUUCCGGUACCCAAAAUAGUGUUACCGGCGAUUCAAUUUCUUCUU